GAUAUUACUUAGAACACCAAUUGCGAAGGCAGGUUACUAAGCAACAACUGACGCUGAUGGACGAAAGCGUGGGGAGCGAACAGGAUUAGAUACCCUGGUAGUCCACGCCGUAAACGAUGCUAACUCGUUUUUGGAGCGCAAGCUUCAGAGACUAAGCGAAAGUGAUAAGUUAGCCACCUGGGGAGUACGAACGCAAGUUUGAAACUCAAAGGAAUUGACGGGGGCCCGCACAAGCGGUGGAUUAUGUGGUUUAAUUCGAUGAUACGCGAGGAACCUUACCAAGGCUUAAAUGGGAAAUGACAGGUUUAGAAAUAGACUUUUCUUCGGACAUUUUUCAAGGUGCUGCAUGGUUGUCGUCAGCUCGUGCCGUGAGGUGUUAGGUUAAGUCCUGCAACGAGCGCAACCCCUGUCACU
RNAcentral lists this ribosomal RNA (414 nucleotides) under Mesorhizobium sp. M7A.F.Ca.CA.001.06.1.1. RNAcentral's name for it is "bacterial SSU rRNA". It matches the Rfam family "Bacterial small subunit ribosomal RNA", at positions 693 to 1112 of the family's 1533-position model. The record is from RNAcentral. Lineage: Bacteria; Pseudomonadati; Pseudomonadota; Alphaproteobacteria; Hyphomicrobiales; Phyllobacteriaceae.